GAGUUUGAUCCUGGCUCAGGACGAACGCUGGCGGCACGCCUAACACAUGCAAGUCGAACGGAGAUAUUUUGGUUUACUGAGAUAUCUUAGUGGCGGACGGGUGAGUAACACGUGAGCAACCUGCCUCUGAGAGAGGGAUAGCUUCUGGAAACGGAUGGUAAUACCUCAUAACAUAACGAAGCCGCAUGACUUUGUUAUCAAAGAUUUAUCACUCAGAGAUGGGCUCGCGUCUGAUUAGAUAGUUGGUGAGGUAACGGCUCACCAAGUCGACGAUCAGUAGCCGGACUGAGAGGUUGAACGGCCACAUUGGGACUGAGACACGGCCCAGACUCCUACGGGAGGCAGCAGUGGGGAAUAUUGCACAAUGGGGGAAACCCUGAUGCAGCGAUGCCGCGUGGAGGAAGAAGGUUUUCGGAUUGUAAACUCCUGUCUUAAAGGACGAUAAUGACGGUACUUUAGGAGGAAGCUCCGGCUAACUACGUGCCAGCAGCCGCGGUAAUACGUAGGGAGCGAGCGUUGUCCGGAAUUACUGGGUGUAAAGGGAGCGUAUGCGGGAUGGCAAGUCAGAUGUGAAWACUAUGGGCUCAACCCAUAGACUGCUUUGAAACUGUUGCUCUUGAGUGAAGUAGAKGUAAGCGKAAWUCCUGGUGUAYGGUGAAU
RNAcentral lists this ribosomal RNA (660 nucleotides) under uncultured Bacillota bacterium. Its description in RNAcentral is "bacterial SSU rRNA". The record is from RNAcentral. Lineage: Bacteria; Bacillati; Bacillota.